ACAACAACAACACUCAUAAGGUGUAAACAACAACAACAGUCACAAGGUGUAAACAACAACAACAACAUAAAACAAGCUUUCAGAGGUCAUCAACAACUCCCAAAUGCAGUACUAACGCAGCCAACUAUCUCCUUCAUCCAAAUCAAAUGUUAUCUGUCACACGUGCCCGAAUACAACAGGUACCUUUACAGUGAAAUGCCCGAAUACAACAGGUACCUUUACCGUGAAAUGCCCGAAUACAACAGGUACCUUUACUGUGAAAUGCCGAAUACAACAGGUACCUUUACCGUGAAAUGCCCGAAUACAACAGGUACCUUUACCGUGAAAUGCCGAAUACAACAGGUACCUUUACCGUGAAAUGCCGAAUACAACAGGUACCUUUACCGUGAAAUGCCGAAAACAACAGGUACCUUUACCGUGAAAUGCCGAAUACAACAGGUACCUUUACCGUGAAAUGCCGAAUACAACAGGUACCUUUACCGUGAAAUGCCGAAUACAACAGGUACCUUUACCGUGAAAUGCCGAAUACAACAGGUACCUUUACCGUGAAAUGCCGAAUACAACAGGUACCUUUACCGUGAAAUGCCCGAAUACAACAGGUACCUUUACCGUGAAAUGCCGAAUACAACAGGUACCUUUACCGUGAAAUGCCGAAUACAACAGGUACCUUUACCGUGAAAUGCCGAAUACAACAGGUACCUUUACCGUGAAAUGCCCGAAUACAACAGGUACCUUUACCGUGAAAUGCCCGAAUACAACAGGUACCUUUACAGUGAAAUGCCCGAAUACAACAGGUACCUUUACCGUGAAAUGCCGAAUACAACAGGUACCUUUACCGUGAAAUGCCCGAAUACAACAGGUACCUUUACUGUGAAAUGCCGAAUACAACAGGUACCUUUACAGUGAAAUGCCCGAAUACAACAGGUACCUUUACUGUGAAAUGCCGAAUACAACAGGUACCUUUACAGUGAAAUGUUUACUUACAAGCCCUUAACCAACAAAGCCGUUUGAGAAACAGACUAUUUACUAAAUAAACUGAAGUAAUUAACAUUUUAAAAAAUCUUUCUCAAUCAAAAAGCAACACAAGAAAAUGACUUCACAAUAGCGAGGCUCUAUACAGGGGGUACCGGUACCUAGUCAAUGUGCAGGGGGUACCGGUACCUAGUCAAUGUGCAGGGGGUACCGGUACCUAGUCAAUGUGCAGGGGGUACCGGUACCUAGUCAAUGUGCAGGGGGUACCGGUACCUAGUCAAUGUGCAGGGCGUACCGGUACCUAGUCAAUGUGCAGGGCGUACCGGUACCUAGUCAAUGUGCAGGGCGUACCGGUACCUAGUCAAUGUGCAGGGCGUACCGGUACCUAGUCAAUGUGCAGGGCGUACCGGUACCUAGUCAAUGUGCAGGGGGUACCGGUACCUAGUCAAUGUGCAGGGGGUACCGGUACCUAGUCAAUGUGCAGGGGGUACCGGUACCUAGUCAAUGUGCAGGGGGUACCGGUACCUAGUCAAUGUGCAGGGGGUACCGGUACCUAGUCAAUGUGCAGGGGGUACCGGUACCUAGUCAAUGUGCAGGGGGUACCGGUACCUAGUCAAUGUGCAGGGGGUACCGGUACCUAGUCAAUGUGCAGGGGGUACCGGUACCUAGUCAAUGUGCAGGGGGUACCGGUACCUAGUCAAUGUGCAGGGGGUACCGGUACCUAGUCAAUGUGCAGGAGGUACCGGUACCUAGUCAAUGUGCAGGGGGUACCGGUACCUAGUCAAUGUGCAGGAGGUACCGGUACCUAGUCAAUGUGCAGGGGGUACCGGUACCUAGUCAAUGUGCAGGGGGUACAGGUUAGUCGAGGUCAUUCGUAAAGUGACUAUGAAGCCCAUUGAACACGC
This is a long non-coding RNA of Oncorhynchus keta (chum salmon), 1877 nucleotides long. RefSeq lists it as uncharacterized. NCBI's taxonomy places the organism in Eukaryota, Metazoa, Chordata, Actinopteri, Salmoniformes, Salmonidae. The transcript is spliced from 5 exons. The record is from RefSeq and is a predicted model, not a curated record.